GACGAACGCUGGCGGCAUGCCUAAUUCAUGCAAGUCGAGCGAACAGAUGAAGUGCUUGCACUUCUGACGUUAGCGGCGAACGGGUGAGUAACACGUAAGGAAUCUACCUAUAAGCGGGGGAUAACAUUCGGAAACGGGUGCUAAUACCGCAUAAUAUCUUCUUCCGCAUGGAAGAAGAUUGAAAGACGGCUCUGCUGUCACUUAUAGAUGACCUUGCGGUGCAUUAGUUAGUUGGUGGGGUAACGGCCUACCAAGACGAUGAUGCAUAGCCGACCUGAGAGGGUGAUCGGCCACAUUGGGACUGAGACACGGCCCAAACACCUACGGGAGGCAGCAGUAGGGAAUCUUCCGCGAUGGGCGAAAGCCUGACGGAGCAAUGCCGCGUGAGUGAAGAAGGCCUUCGGGUCGUAAAACUCUGUUAUAAGAGAAGAACAAAUUGUAGAGUAACUGCUACAGUCUUGACGGUAUCUUAUCAGAAAGCCACGGCUAACUACGUGCCAGCAGCCGCUGUAA
RNAcentral lists this ribosomal RNA (513 nucleotides) under uncultured bacterium. RNAcentral's name for it is "partial 16S ribosomal RNA". It matches the Rfam family "Bacterial small subunit ribosomal RNA", at positions 28 to 523 of the family's 1533-position model. The record is from RNAcentral.